GGGAAGGAUUCCCAGAUCAUUAAUUCCAACCAGAUAUCACAGCAAGGUCUAACGGAGUCACUCGUUUCAGCAGCAUCUCAGUGUCAUCGGUCUUUCACCGUGCAAGAAUGCAGACAUUGCUGUCUAAGCCAGAAUAUAUUGCCCAUCUAUGAUUGCUAAGAAGGUUGUCAAGCGUCAACUGCAUUGCUGUUGGGUUGGAGUCACAUGUAAGCCAGACCGGGCAAUUAGACAGUAAGUUCAAAUCAAAUGUGAGAUCAAGAGCUGCCAGCAGUGCUCGAUUCUCAGGACCUGAGUAUCACCAGCCUUGGAACAUGGAAGGAAAAAGCAUCGUUCACAGUGAAGAGAAACUGUACAGGUGGUCUGUGUGUGGACAAGACUUCAGUCAAUCGUCUGGACUGUCGAUAUGUAAAUGCAAUCACAAUAAGAAAACA
Long non-coding RNA from Rhincodon typus (whale shark), 431 nucleotides. RefSeq lists it as uncharacterized. The record is from RefSeq and is a predicted model, not a curated record. Lineage: Eukaryota; Metazoa; Chordata; Chondrichthyes; Orectolobiformes; Rhincodontidae. The transcript has 3 exons.